CUAAGUUUGAUGGCGACCGGCGCGCGGGUGAGUAACACGUAUCCAACCUGCCGAUGACUCGGGGAUAGCCUUUCGAAAGAAAGAUUAAUACCCGAUGGCAUAGUUCUUCCGCAUGGUGGAACUAUUAAAGAAUUUCGGUCAUCGAUGGGGAUGCGUUCCAUUAGGUUGUUGGCGGGGUAACGGCCCACCAAGCCUUCGAUGGAUAGGGGUUCUGAGAGGAAGGUCCCCCACAUUGGAACUGAGACACGGUCCAAACUCCUACGGGAGGCAGCAUG
This 275-nucleotide ribosomal RNA is filed under the name uncultured bacterium. Its description in RNAcentral is "partial 16S ribosomal RNA". It matches the Rfam family "Bacterial small subunit ribosomal RNA", at positions 79 to 353 of the family's 1533-position model. The record is from RNAcentral.